GGGAGUUCUUGUAGGUCGCUGAAAUUGCUUCCUAGGUUAAGUACCUCCAGAUUUGAUAACUUUCCGAUGGAAUCUGGGAGGCCUCGGAGCUCGUUGAAGUGGGCGUCGAGGUACCGAAGAGAUUUCAUGUCGCCGAUAGAGUGACAAAUGCUAUCUGGUAAGGAAUCAAGUUUGUUGCUAGAGACAUCAAGGAUCUUCAACUUGUGCAAACAGCCGAUGGAAUCUGGUAGAGACGUCAAAAUAUUGGAAGAAACAUUAAGCUCCUCAAGGUUCUCAAGUCCAGCAACGGAAUCGGGAAUCACCUGUUCCAAUGCAUCAAGGUUCAUCAAUGGCAGAAAGAAACAGCAGGAUAAGGUUCAUCGAUUUGUUAGAUUUCUCAAAAUCAAUACAUGUGUUGCAGUUAGGGGAGGGCUAAAUAUUUAGAAAUCUUGUUAUCAAACCAUAAGUUAAGAGAGUUAUUGUGCAAAUUCCAAAAUUUUGGUCCUAGAUUUCUGUUCUUCUACAGGCUGUGGUCAUACAUGGAAUUAAGAUCUGAAAAUGAUCGAAUGAAGAAGAUUAAAUUAACCAAUAUAUUUGGAUAAUAAGAAUAUCAGAGGAUAAAUAUAAUCAUAGACGGCAAACCUCAAGCUGAUUGGAGGAUAGGUUAAGGUGAACCAAUGUAUGAAUCUUUCCAAAGGCUUCAGGCAGAAACGGCAAUCGUCUCUCUGAUAAAUCAAUCCUUUGAGCACCGUUGGACAAUGCAUCUGUCAGAAUUGCAACCACUUCCUCCGUCAACUCCUCGGCGACGGCGGAGCUCCCUUCAUCACCACCCGGAAGCGGGUUGUUUCCCUCCUUAACCGACUCAUAAAUUUUCUCAAGUCUCUUCUCCGCCUCGCUCAACAUUUUAUCAUACGAUUCAUGCAUUUGAUCCAGCGAGAUCAGAGUUUUGUGCAUCUGUCUCUCCCUCUCGAUUGCCUUCUUCCGUUUGUCCUCCUCCGGGUCGACCUUAUCUGAUAAAGUGAUCUCGUCGAGGUCGUUCGACAACGUCGAAUCAAUCUCUGCAAGCCUGGCCUUCGCCAUGUCCACAGCUUCAUGAUCAGGACGCUCACCAAGGGUCUUGAGUAGCGAUCGUGUCUGAGAAACAUCGGCCACGGCUGCACGCAUGGAAGUCAGGAGCCGAGGAUCUGUUAGGUGAGGCAUCCGUUCAGUGAGUUCGAAAUAUGGUGGCGGAUUGAAGGACGAACGAUCUGUCAAUUUGGAAGUAAAAUGAGGCAUCGACGGCGGUUGUUCGAUGUCUCCCUCCUGCAUGUUAGAUCGUUUCAUGGUGGGCAGCCUGUUCAUGACGUAGGAGAGAAUUGGGAAAUUUUUGGGGUUCGGAUCCAUUGGAGUACGUGUUGUUUCAUGUGUGAUGAUCGAUCAAAUUGAAGCAGAUUUUCAGAGAUUGAUGAAUCUGAGCUUUAGAUUCGGAUGCAUUUCUAUCCACGGAGAGAGGGCGAUCAUCAACAAGACCGAACGAGAACCGCAACGGUAUUCCAGUCAUGUGAUGCAAAAUCUCGGACAAAUUCUUGGAGGGCAAUAUUUUGUAAAUUGUAAUUAUAUAUUAAAUAUAAAACAAUUUUUAUAUAUAUUUUUAAUUUUAAUAAUUAUAUUUUUAAAUAA
Lactuca sativa (garden lettuce) is the source of this 1638-nucleotide long non-coding RNA. RefSeq lists it as uncharacterized. The record is from RefSeq and is a predicted model, not a curated record. NCBI's taxonomy places the organism in Eukaryota, Viridiplantae, Streptophyta, Magnoliopsida, Asterales, Asteraceae.